RNAcentral lists this microRNA precursor (161 nucleotides) under Pelobates cultripes (western spadefoot toad). Lineage: Eukaryota; Metazoa; Chordata; Amphibia; Anura; Pelobatidae. The record is from RNAcentral.
GCUGACACAUCCCGGCCAAUCUCCAGCAGACCCUCCCUCCCAGACCCUCCUACUUCCUGGACAGCAUCCAUGUUGAAGGGCUGCCUUCAACAUGGAUGCUGUCCAGGAAGUAGGAGGGUCUGGGAGGGAGGGUCUGCUGGAGAUUGGCCGGGAUGUGUCAG